GUCGAUAAUCUACCUUUGGGUCAAGAAUAACCUUGGGAAACUGAGGCUAAUGCUUGAUAAGAGAUUAUUACUGGAAUGUAUUUUCUCUGAAAGUUUCGAUGCCCAAAGAUGAGUCGGCGGCUGAUUAGGCUGUUGGUGAGGUAAAGGCUCACCAAACCUUUGAUCAGUAGGGGGGAUGAGAGUCCUAGCCCCGAGAAGGGCACUGAGAUACUGGCCCUAGUCCUAAGGGACGCAGCAGUCGCGAAACCUUUACAAUGCACGCAAGUGUGAUAAGGGGAUUCCUAGUGCUUUACCUCUGGUAAGGCUUUUGCCAAGUUUAAAUUGCUUGGCGAAUAAGUGGUGGGCAAGACUGGUGCCAGCCGCCGCGGUAACACCAGCGCCACAAGUGGGGGCCGCAUUUAUUGGGUCUAAAGCAUCUGUAGCCGGUUUGAUAAGUUUCUUGUGAAAUUGUUCGGCUUAACUGAACAUUGUGCAAGAAAUACUAUUAGACUAGGGACUGGGAGGGGAUAAAAGUAUUCCAAGGGGAACGGUAAAAUGUUUUAAUCCUUGGAGGACUACCUAUGGCGAAGGCAUUUAUCCAGAACAGGUCCGACGGUGAGAGAUGAAGGCUAGGGGAGCGAUCCGGAUUAGAUACCCGAGUAGUCCUAGCAGUAAACGCUGUGAGUUAGGUGUUGCAUAUUCUUCGGGAAUGUGCAGUGCCGGAGCGAAGGCAUUAAACUCACCACCUGGGGAGUAUGGUCGCAAGACUGAAACUUAAAGGAAUUGGCGGGGGCGCACUACAAGGAGUGAAACGUGCGGUUCAAUUGGAUUUCACACCGUAAAUCUUACCAAGAGCGACGGCAGGAUGAAGGUCAGAUUAAAGGUUUUACCUGACGAGCCGAGAGAUAGUGCAUGGCCGUCGUCAGUUCGUGCUGUGAAGUGUCCUGUUAAGUCAGGCAACGAACAAGAUCUAUAUCUACAUUUGCUAGCAGGUUCUUUUGAAUGACUGAGCACAAUGUGGAGACUGCCCGGGAAACUGGGAGGAAGGUAUAGGCAACGGUAGGUCAGUAUGCUUCGAAUCUCUUGGGCUACACGCGCGUGACAAUGGUAAGGACAAUGGGUCACGACUCUGAAAAGAGAAGUUAAUCCUCGAAACCUUAUCUUAGUUCAGAUCGAGGGCUGCAACUCGCCCUCGUGAUGCCGGAAUUCCUAGUAAUUGGGUCUCAACAGGGCCCAGUGAAUAAGUCCCUGUGCCUUGCACACACCGCCCGUCAAAUCAACCGAGCAGGGUUUGAGUGAGGCUUAAUUUUUUGAUUAAUCCGAACUCAAGCUCAGUAAGGUGGGUUAAGUCGUCACAAGGUA
This 1341-nucleotide ribosomal RNA is filed under the name metagenome. RNAcentral describes it as "bacterial SSU rRNA". It matches the Rfam family "Archaeal small subunit ribosomal RNA". The record is from RNAcentral.